This is a small nucleolar RNA of Antechinus flavipes (yellow-footed antechinus), 118 nucleotides long. RefSeq annotates it as small nucleolar RNA SNORA5. Lineage: Eukaryota; Metazoa; Chordata; Mammalia; Dasyuromorphia; Dasyuridae. The transcript has a single exon. The record is from RefSeq and is a predicted model, not a curated record.
UCCAGGAAUAUCAAGGAACUCUGAAUCUAUGAGAUUACCUACAAGGCUGGAAAUAUUUAUUUCCCAUCAUCCCUGGUCAUUGACAUGUACUCAGGGAAAAAAAGGGAAACAGAAGGCA